Molecule: non-coding RNA, 420 nt
Organism: Callorhinus ursinus (northern fur seal)
Lineage: Eukaryota; Metazoa; Chordata; Mammalia; Carnivora; Otariidae
Source: RefSeq, a predicted model, not a curated record
ACCAACUGGAGCAAGGAAGACCCGGAUUCUAGCAUAAGCUUGCCACCUCUCCCUUCCUGUUCUCCAGGCACAUCACUUCUUUAAAUGUUAUGAACACACACAGAUGAGUCAACUCUGCAGAAAAACAGAACUCAAGGUCUUCGUCCUCUGCAAUUCAUUUGGAGGUUUAGUUCUGGAAGGCCUGACUGGCAUUACCAGCAAACUGUCCCACACAUUCCAGUGGUUCUGCAAACAGCCUCUCUCUCAAAGCAAACAAGGUGGGACAUCAGGUAAACAGUAAAGAAUGGAAAUGUCACUCAUUUCCCCAUCUGUAUCCUUUCUAGUUGACAAGAGCAUCAGUCAAUGCAAAGUUUGUUGAGACUGGUAAGUUUGAGGAUUUAUUUGGAAGGCUGUGUUAAUAAGAUAUUUUUGAAAAGUUCA